AUCAGAAGAGCAAGGUGAAAAUGCAAAAGAUUUAGGUUCUUUUAUUAAAGGUUAAAUUCCUUUUUUUGAUA
Molecule: transfer RNA, 71 nt
Filed under: Antedon mediterranea
Lineage: Eukaryota; Metazoa; Echinodermata; Crinoidea; Comatulida; Antedonidae
Description: transfer RNA-Leu
Rfam family: tRNA
About the family: Transfer RNA (tRNA) molecules are approximately 80 nucleotides in length. Their secondary structure includes four short double-helical elements and three loops (D, anti-codon, and T loops).
Source: RNAcentral